GACGAACGCUGGCGGCGUGCUUAACACAUGCAAGUCGAACGGAGAGGCCCUGCUUUUGUGGGGUGCUCGAGUGGCGAACGGGUGAGUAACACGUGAGUAACCUGCCCUUGACUUUGGGAUAACUUCAGGAAACUGGGGCUAAUACCGGAUAGGAGCUCCUGCUGCAUGGUGGGGGUUGGAAAGUUUCGGCGGUUGGGGAUGGACUCGCGGCUUAUCAGCUUGUUGGUGGGGUAGUGGCUUACCAAGGCUUUGACGGGUAGCCGGCCUGAGAGGGUGACCGGCCACAUUGGGACUGAGAUACGGCCCAGACCCCUACGGGAGGCAGCAGUGGGGAAUAUUGCACAAUGGGCGGUAGCCUGAUGCAGCAACGCCGCGUGCGGGAUGACGGCCUUCGGGUUGUAAACCGCUUUCGCCUGUGACGAAGCGUGAGUGACGGUAAUGGGUAAAGAAGCACCGGCUAACUACGUG
Molecule: ribosomal RNA, 468 nt
Filed under: uncultured bacterium
Lineage: Bacteria
Description: partial 16S ribosomal RNA
Rfam family: Bacterial small subunit ribosomal RNA
Source: RNAcentral